This 75-nucleotide transfer RNA is filed under the name Candidatus Manganitrophus sp. RNAcentral's name for it is "tRNA-Ala". It matches the Rfam family "tRNA". Rfam says of the family: Transfer RNA (tRNA) molecules are approximately 80 nucleotides in length. Their secondary structure includes four short double-helical elements and three loops (D, anti-codon, and T loops). The record is from RNAcentral. Lineage: Bacteria; Pseudomonadati; Nitrospirota; Nitrospiria; Candidatus Troglogloeales; Candidatus Manganitrophaceae.
GGGGCUGUAGCUCAGCUGGGAGAGCACCUGCUUUGCAAGCAGGAGGUCGCCGGUUCGAUCCCGUCAGCUCCACCA